CGUAUAUUAAAGUUGUUGCAGUUAAAAAGCUCGUAGUUGGAUUUGUGGUUGGAGUGACUGGCUCGACACAGUGUGUUGAUGCUUUGUUGUCUCCGUCCAUCCUUGGGUGGAACCUGUGUGGCAUUAAGUUGUCGCGCAGGGGAUACCCAUCUUUUACUGUGAAAAAAUUAGAGUGCUCAAAGCAGGCUUACGCCGUUGAAUAUAUUAGCAUGGAAUAAUGAGAUAGGACCUGGGUACUAUUUUGUUGGUUUGCGCACCGAGGUAAUGAUUAAUGGGGACAGUUGGGGG
Molecule: ribosomal RNA, 288 nt
Filed under: uncultured diatom
Lineage: Eukaryota; Bacillariophyta
Description: partial 18S ribosomal RNA
Rfam family: Eukaryotic small subunit ribosomal RNA
Source: RNAcentral